GACGAACGCUGGCGGCGUGCUUAACACAUGCAAGUCGAACGAAGAGCGAUGGAAGCUUGCUUCUAUCAAUCUUAGUGGCGAACGGGUGAGUAACGCGUAAUCAACCUGCCCUUCAGAGGGGGACAACAGUUGGAAACGACUGCUAAUACCGCAUACGAUCUAAUCUCGGCAUCGAGGAUAGAUGAAAGGUGGCCUCUACAUGUAAGCUAUCACUGAAGGAGGGAUUGCGUCUGAUUAGCUAGUUGGAGGGGUAACGGCCCACCAAGGCGAUGAUCAGUAGCCGGUCUGAGAGGAUGAACGGCCACAUUGGGACUGAGACACGGCCCAGACUCCUACGGGAGGCAGCAGUGGGGAAUCUUCCGCAAUGGACGAAAGUCUGACGGAGCAACGCCGCGUGAGCGAUGACGGCCUUCGGGUUGUAAAGCUCUGUUAAUCGGGACGAAAGGCCUUCUUGCGAAUAGUGAGAAGGAUUGACGGUACCGGAAUAGAAAGCCACGGCUAACUACGUG
Molecule: ribosomal RNA, 509 nt
Filed under: uncultured bacterium
Lineage: Bacteria
Description: partial 16S ribosomal RNA
Rfam family: Bacterial small subunit ribosomal RNA
Source: RNAcentral